Long non-coding RNA from Trachymyrmex septentrionalis, 804 nucleotides. RefSeq lists it as uncharacterized. NCBI's taxonomy places the organism in Eukaryota, Metazoa, Arthropoda, Insecta, Hymenoptera, Formicidae. The record is from RefSeq and is a predicted model, not a curated record. The transcript has 3 exons.
GCGAGUACACUCAAUCUAGUACUAAUAUCGUUUUAUACUAGGAAAACUAGUGCAAAAUUACGCAAUUCGUGUUGCUCCCCAAAAGUGCACUUAAAACGAGAUAAAUAUAUAUUCUGUGGAGACACAUUCACUAUAAUUCGGACGUUAAAGAGAGAGAAAACGAAGAUGCUGAGUGCAAAAAGUGCUAAAAACGCGAACAGAUCUAAACUGUAGGAAUGGAGAAAUUCUCCACGCAUGUGACUACUCGAUUGACUAAUUAAUCGAUGUUGUUAAGUUUGGCCGCCAUGUUCGUGUUUACAUAGUUCUAAAUAGACAGAUGUAAUUAUCGGUGACGAACGUAAAACGUUAGAACAUGAUUUGACACGCAACUAUUUGAUGCCAUCUGAUGACGAACUUACUCCAUUUGAAAGGAAAUACCGAGUUAUAUUAAUUACACAACGCACAAACGACAAUUCAAAAGCUAUCAAUCUUGCAAUUUAUAUAUAUAUAUAUAUACACAUAUUUCUGCACAGUUAUCAUUUACGAGAAAAAUGUGGUUGUAUUUUAUACUCGUCAUAUUCGGCAUUUUUGAUGUCGCAAUGGCUUCCAAUUUUGAUUUCGGUGACACUUUAGCAUUGAUUUUAGGGUUAACUAUAGCGAUUAUUGGAUUCUUCGCUUGUUUGGGGGCUUACGCACGAAGGCGAAGUAAUUUUGAAUCUUUGUGAUGCUUUACAAUCUGUUUAAAUAUAUCUAACACAUAAAGGAAGAUGAUGGCCAAAAGGAAUAAUUUCUGUAUGUGGAAAAGAGAAAAACAGUUCUAAAAAG